GUUUCACAUGAUGCAUGUGUAAAUAUUUAGUUUAUAAAGUAAGUUAACAUGCUGUUAAUAAAGAAUAUUCUGUAUUUCUGCAUGAAAGAUAUAAUUUAUAACAUGAAUUUUUAAAUUUGAAAAAUACUGGUUUUUAUAUGCAUAAGAGUAGGCAAACAAUCACAGAUGACUGGAUUUAAUGUGUUAUGCAGGUCUGAGUGUUCUGUAAGUGGGCUGGAGAUGUUCAAAAGAACAAGAAAAUAAAGAUGCAUAUAAUUCAUAAAAUAUUAGAAAUUUAUUCUGCAAUUUUUUUUGCUUUCACUUAACAUAAUUACUAAUGAUCUGAGAUUAAAAAUAAAAUAUAAUGUUCAAAGUGUACAAAAUCUUAUUACUUGUGAUAGUUAUUUUCUAUAAAAUUUCUGUAAACAUUGAAUUAGUGAAUACUGAGCCAUAACUCACAGGAGAAAUACAGAAUAAGGUACCUAUGUGCCUAUAGGUACAUUUUCAUCAACUCUUCAAUAAUAACCUUGUUUUAUGUGUUUUUCCUGUUCAAAGACACAUUAUAUAAUAUAUACCAUUUGAGUCAUGAAUCAUAUGGCCAACAGCAUGCAUCUGAAUGAAGCUUGUCUAACACACAUAUUUUCUCUGUAAGGCUCAUUAUAGAUUCCUGAAGUUGUAAACACUAGACAGCACUUCAGCAGUACACUUCAGCAUCUGUUUUUUGGUUUUGUUUUGCUUUUUUCAGUGUUGGGGUUUGAGCCCAGGGCCUUUUGUAUGCUAGUCAAGCACUCUAAGACUAGGCUACAACUUUAGCCCCUUGAAUACCAUUUUAUACAUCGAAAUCACCAACUGCACCAAAUGUGGAAAAUGGGGCACUAAAUUGAACUUGAAAAUGAUGCUUGUUUGUAGUCUGAAAGCUAACAUAAGAAGGCAUUACCUUUUUUGUCCUCAACUGGGAAUGCAUAUUUUGGGUGAUUCAGUUUUUUACAUUCUAUUUAUGCCCCCAAAUGAUGGUGGAAAUGCCUAGAAUAUUGAUUUUAGGGUAACAAAUAAAUUUUAGCAAGCCGUAUAAUUGCAAAUACAGAAUUCACAAAUGAUAAGUAUCAACUGUAGUGUUAUUAAAAAUGUGAAUUCAGGAGCCGGG
RNAcentral lists this long non-coding RNA (1123 nucleotides) under Marmota monax (woodchuck). The record is from RNAcentral. Lineage: Eukaryota; Metazoa; Chordata; Mammalia; Rodentia; Sciuridae.